CAGGGAGUUCCUGCUUAACCCUCAAAGUGAAGUGUCGUCUCAUUAUUGGGGGAAGGAUUUAUUGUAUGCUGUUCCAGUUUGACUGCUAGGAGAGUAAACCUAUUCGUAUGGUUCCUAUUCAACUGUCUACAGCAUUCAUGUGCUUAAGAGGAUUCAUAUGCUUCUCCGGUUCGGUGGUUGUGGUGUCUGCUGCAGUGCUUGGAGUCCUCAGGAAGCGCUAGGAG
Pelobates cultripes (western spadefoot toad) is the source of this 224-nucleotide non-coding RNA. The record is from the annotation of a GenBank genome assembly. NCBI's taxonomy places the organism in Eukaryota, Metazoa, Chordata, Amphibia, Anura, Pelobatidae.